UUGAUGGAUAGUAUGAAUGGUAUAACGAGUAUAACACUGUCUCAAAUAAAAAUCUUAUAAAAUUAGAAUAAUAGUGAAGAUGCUAUUUUAAACUGUAAGACGAGAAGACCCUAUAGAGCUUAACUAUAACUCUUUAACAAUUAAUAAACUAGUUUGUUAAUAAAAAGAGAUAGGUAGUUUAGUUGGGGCGACUACUUUCUAAAAUCAACGAAAGUAAACAAAAUUAAUUAAAAGGUUUACUGUUUAACUUAUGAAUUUAACAGUUAUUAUAAUAGGUAAUAAUGACCCGUUAACAAUUAAUAAUAGUACUAACGAUCAAUAAAUAAAAGCUACCUUAGGGAUAACAGGAUAAUUUUGUU
Molecule: ribosomal RNA, 359 nt
Filed under: Zanclea sango
Lineage: Eukaryota; Metazoa; Cnidaria; Hydrozoa; Anthoathecata; Zancleidae
Description: partial 16S ribosomal RNA
Rfam family: Bacterial large subunit ribosomal RNA
Source: RNAcentral